AUUUUUUUGAUAAAAUCAAAAUCACCCACCUCAUUAUCUCUUCCAGCAUUACUCUCUUUCGUUUUAAACAUCCUCAUCAUCUUCUUAUUUACUUCUUUUUCAAACAAAACAAUCAAAUAUAAACAAAAGAAGAACAAGGUGUGGCAGUGCAAGCGAGCAGGGGUGGCGGGAGAGUGGUUCGCGGUGGCGAUCGGUAGUCGAUGCACCGGCGCUACUGCGAACCUUAUUUUUUUCAAAUUUUUUUACUUUUCUUUCUCGUCUUGCUCUCCCAGUUCUAAAUCCGAACUUAAUUUCUCAAAAAAGUUUUAA
Non-coding RNA from Vicia faba (fava bean), 309 nucleotides. NCBI's taxonomy places the organism in Eukaryota, Viridiplantae, Streptophyta, Magnoliopsida, Fabales, Fabaceae. The record is from the annotation of a GenBank genome assembly.